RNAcentral lists this non-coding RNA (148 nucleotides) under Pan troglodytes (chimpanzee). The record is from Rfam by way of RNAcentral. Lineage: Eukaryota; Metazoa; Chordata; Mammalia; Primates; Hominidae.
GCCAGGCAUGGUGGUGGGUGCCUGUAAUCCCAGCUACUCAGGAGGCUGAGGCAGGAGAAUUGCUUGAACCCAGGGGGCAGAGGUUGCAGUGAGCUGAGAUUGUGCCACUACACUCCAGCCUGGGUGACAGAGCAAGACUCUGUCUCAA